This is a small nucleolar RNA of Molossus molossus (Pallas's mastiff bat), 129 nucleotides long. RefSeq annotates it as small nucleolar RNA SNORA68. NCBI's taxonomy places the organism in Eukaryota, Metazoa, Chordata, Mammalia, Chiroptera, Molossidae. The transcript has a single exon. The record is from RefSeq and is a predicted model, not a curated record.
CAGGCACCUGAACCCAGAACCGCUGUUUGUCGUAGCGGCAGGUUAAACAGGUGCAGAAAGCAAGCAAAUCUCAUCGCUUUCGGGGGCUGUGGUGAUGCCCCUCAAAGUGAAUUGGGAGGUUCUACUCCC